Molecule: long non-coding RNA, 913 nt
Organism: Podarcis raffonei (Aeolian wall lizard)
Lineage: Eukaryota; Metazoa; Chordata; Lepidosauria; Squamata; Lacertidae
Exons: 3
Source: RefSeq, a predicted model, not a curated record
CCACUUUACAGCCCUUUUAGAUGUGACAGUAAAGGCAAGGAUUUGGGAUCCAAUGAAGUCAGGUGGCUAAGGUUAGGACAUGGCUCAAUGAGAACUUUAGAAAAGGGUUUGAAAUAGUCAGAAAGAUAAGAAAACCAUGUCCUGAUUUAUAAGGGGGCUAAGUGUCAUAUUUGAUUGAUUGAUUGAUUGAUUGGUUGGUUGGUUGUUUUCAUUCUGCUCUUAUCCAAGGUCACUGAAGCAGCCAUCAUCCCUGGCAAGCCCCCUCAAAGGCACGGAGGGAGAGAAAUAUGAAUCAAGAGUAAAAACGCAAAAAUACGAACAAUAUUUCAGCUGCUGAGUGGUUCUUGCGUACAUGUCACAGAAAGCAAGCCCACUAGACUUCGGAAUGUUAUCAAUUGUUUUAACAGUUUUCGCUUCGUGUUGCUGUUUGCCACCCUGGGCUCUUCGGGAAGGAAGGGCGAGGUAUAACUUCACUCAAGGUGCAUUAACAACAUUGGAGGGGUUUAAAACUCCAUAACAGAUCAAAAGAUGAAACUACUGGGAGGAAGUUGAAAAAGGCAGGAAUUGAAAAUCACAGCUGGAAUAAUAAUUGAUUUUCCAAACCAGGGCCAGGGUGCAAUGAAAUAAGAGUCCCUGCAGGCUUUGGCUUAUGGCAGACUAUAUUUCGAAGAGUGGUUCAGGUGGGAUUCAUCACAUACCAGCAAAAUCAAAUUGCACAAUCCAAGUUGAUUAACGCUCUUGUGCAACAAUCCUGUUCUCCACUACCAUCAGACUUCUUGCAAAGUGAUAAGAAAAUGCACUGUUAAAUGUGAGGUAGCACUUGCUUCACUCAAUAUCUUUUAACCUCCUUGCAAACCAAUCAGGAUGCAUGCUCAAUAAAUAGCUGAGGUUAUCUAAUCUCCCCACGAACUAA